CUCAAAGGAAUUGACGGGGACCCGCACAAGCGGUGGAUGAUGUGGUUUAAUUCGAUGCAACGCGAAAAACCUUACCCACCUUUGACAUGUACGGAAUCCUUUAGAGAUAGAGGAGUGCUCGAAAGAGAACCGUAACACAGGUGCUGCAUGGCUGUCGUCAGCUCGUGUCGUGAGAUGUUGGGUUAAGUCCCGCAACGAGCGCAACCCUUGCCAUUAGUUGCUACAUUUAGUUGGGCACUCUAAUGGGACUGCCGGUGACAAACCGGAGGAAGGUGGGGAUGACGUCAAGUCCUCAUGGCCCUUAUAGGUGGGGCUACACACGUCAUACAAUGGCUGGUACAGAAGGUUGCCAACCCGCGAGGGGGAGCUAAUCCUAUAAAGCCAGUCGUAGUCCGGAUCGCAGUCUGCAACUCGACUGCGUGAAGUCGGAAUCGCUAGUAAUCGCGGAUCAGAAUGUCGCGGUGAAUACGUUCCCGGGUCUUGUACACACCGCCCGUCACACCAUGGGAGCGGGUCUCGCCAGAAGUAGGUAGCCUAACCGCAAGGAGGGCGCUUACCACGGCGGGGUUCGUGACUGGGGUGAAGUCGUAACAAGGUA
RNAcentral lists this ribosomal RNA (598 nucleotides) under unidentified microorganism. Its description in RNAcentral is "bacterial SSU rRNA". It matches the Rfam family "Bacterial small subunit ribosomal RNA", at positions 900 to 1498 of the family's 1533-position model. The record is from RNAcentral.